RNAcentral lists this transfer RNA (68 nucleotides) under Marmota monax (woodchuck). RNAcentral describes it as "tRNA.Gly". Lineage: Eukaryota; Metazoa; Chordata; Mammalia; Rodentia; Sciuridae. The record is from RNAcentral.
GUGGUGGCUCAAAGGUAGAGUGCUCACCCACCAUGCAUGAGGCACUGGGUUCGAUUCUCAGCACCACG